CGGUGGAGCAUGUGGUUUAAUUCGAAGCAACGCGAAGAACCUUACCAGGUCUUGACAUCCCGAUGCUAUUUCUAGAGAUAGAAAGUUGCUUCGGUACAUCGGUGACAGGUGGUGCAUGGUUGUCGUCAGCUCGUGUCGUGAGAUGUUGGGUUAAGUCCCGCAACGAGCGCAACCCCUAUUGUUAGUUGCCAUCAUUCAGUUGGGCACUCUAGCGAGACUGCCGGUAAUAAACCGGAGGAAGGUGGGAUGACGUCAAAUCAUCAUGCCCCUUAUGACCUGGGCUACACACGUGCUACAAUGGUUGGUACAACGAGUUGCGAGUCGGUGACGGCGAGCUAAUCUCUUAAAGCCAAUCUCAGUUCGGAUUGUAGGCUGCAACUCGCCUACAUGAAGUCGGAAUCGCUAGUAACCGCAGGUCAGCUAUACUGCGGUGAAUACGUUCCCGGGGCUU
This 451-nucleotide ribosomal RNA is filed under the name uncultured Streptococcus sp. RNAcentral describes it as "bacterial SSU rRNA". It matches the Rfam family "Bacterial small subunit ribosomal RNA", at positions 930 to 1382 of the family's 1533-position model. Lineage: Bacteria; Bacillati; Bacillota; Bacilli; Lactobacillales; Streptococcaceae. The record is from RNAcentral.